Molecule: ribosomal RNA, 368 nt
Filed under: Androctonus amoreuxi
Lineage: Eukaryota; Metazoa; Arthropoda; Arachnida; Scorpiones; Buthidae
Description: partial 16S ribosomal RNA
Source: RNAcentral
GUCAUAAUCAUUAGUCUUUUAAUUUGAGACUGGAAUGAAAGAGUAAACCGGGAGAAUUUUUUUUCAGUUGAGAAAAUGAAUUUUACUUUUUAGUAAGAAGGCUAAAAUUUAACUUUUAGACAAGAAGACCCUAUAAAACUUUAUAUUUUUAUUUCUUAGUUGAAAGAAGAAGUAUUUCGCUGGGGCGGUGGAGGAAAGCUCUUCCUUUAAAAAAAAUAAACUCUCUUGUUUAAAUACCUAGAAAUUCUAAAUUAGAAAUAAGUUACUUUAGGGAUAACAGCUUAAUUUACUUAGAAAGAUCAAAUUGACAAGUAAGUUUAUGACCUCGAUGUUGAAUUAAAAGACCUUUUUUGUGCAAAAGCUAAAAA